CUGCUCCUAGUUAUAGACAAAGCCGAAAGUUAGACCACAGUGUACGUAUGAAAAACCUUCAGAAAAAGAUAGAAAAAGUAAAAACAACGAAGGAAAAACAAGAGCAAGGAGUUCCGUAGCGUACCUCUUUCAGGUGCCUCCCAGAGUAGCCAGGAUCCAGCGACGGUAUUCUCCCUGGUUUUUCAUGGUCUUUCUCCGCACAUAUGACGCAUCAAUGAGGGUCAUUCAUUGGAAAGAAAGCCGUCGCCAUCGUCUGGGUGUUCAAUGGGACACCUAGCAAAGCGACCGAGAAGAAAAAAAAAAC
This 304-nucleotide long non-coding RNA is filed under the name Selaginella moellendorffii. RNAcentral's name for it is "long non-coding RNA (SMOE_LNC000490)". Lineage: Eukaryota; Viridiplantae; Streptophyta; Lycopodiopsida; Selaginellales; Selaginellaceae. The record is from RNAcentral.